RNAcentral lists this ribosomal RNA (253 nucleotides) under uncultured bacterium. RNAcentral's name for it is "partial 16S ribosomal RNA". It matches the Rfam family "Bacterial small subunit ribosomal RNA", at positions 524 to 776 of the family's 1533-position model. The record is from RNAcentral.
UACGGGGGGGGUAGGCGUUGUUCGGAAUUACUGGGCGUAAAGCGUGCGCAGGCGGCUUCGCAAGUCAGACGUGAAAUCCCCGGGCUUAACCUGGGAAUGGCGUUUGAAACUACGGAGCUGGAGUGUGGCAGAGGGAGGUAGAAUUCCACGUGUAGCGGUGAAAUGCGUAGAUAUGUGGAGGAAUACCGAUGGCGAAGGCAGCCUCCUGGGCCAACACUGACGCUCAUGCACGAAAGCGUGGGGAGCAAACAGG